RNAcentral lists this ribosomal RNA (466 nucleotides) under uncultured bacterium. RNAcentral describes it as "partial 16S ribosomal RNA". It matches the Rfam family "Bacterial small subunit ribosomal RNA", at positions 30 to 507 of the family's 1533-position model. The record is from RNAcentral.
CGACCGCUGGCGGCGUGCUUAACACAUGCACGUCGAACGGAAAGGCCCUGCUUUUGUGGGGUGCUCGAGUGGCGAACGGGUGAGUAACACGUGAGUAACCUGCCCUUGACUUUGGGAUAACUUCAGGAAACUGGGGCUAAUACCGGUUAGGAGCUCCUGCUGCAUGGUGGGGGUUGGAAAGUUUCGGCGGUUGGGGAUGGACUCGCGGCUUAUCAGCUUGUUGGUGGGGUAGUGGCUUACCAAGGCUUUGACGGGUAGCCGGCCUGAGAGGGUGACCGGCCACAUUGGGACUGAGAUACGGCCCAGACUCCUACGGGAGGCAGCAGUGGGGAAUAUUGCACAAUGGGCGGAAGCCUGAUGCAGCAACGCCGCGUGCGGGAUGACGGCCUUCGGGUUGUAAACCGCUUUCGCCUGUGACGAAGCGUGAGUGACGGUAAUGGGUAAAGAAGCACCGGCUAACUACGUG